AUACGUAGGGUGCAAGCGUUAAUCGGAAUUACUGGGCGUAAAGCGUGCGCAGGCGGUUUUGUAAGACAGAGGUGAAAUCCCCGGGCUCAACCUGGGAACUGCCUUUGUGACUGCAAGGCUAGAGUACGGCAGAGGGGGAUGGAAUUCCGCGUGUAGCCGUGAAAUGCGUAGAUAUGCGGAGGAACACCGAUGGCGAAGGCAAUCCCCUGGGCCUGUACUGACGCCCAUGCACGAAAGCGUGGGGAGCAAACAGGAUUAGAUACCCUGGUAGUCCACGCCCUAAACAAUUUCAACUGGUUGUUGGGUCUUCAGUGACUCAGUAACGAAGCUAACGCGUGAAGUUGACCGCCUGGGGAGUACGGCCGCAAGGUUGAAACUCAAAUGAAUUGACGUGG
This 395-nucleotide ribosomal RNA is filed under the name uncultured bacterium. Its description in RNAcentral is "partial 16S ribosomal RNA". It matches the Rfam family "Bacterial small subunit ribosomal RNA", at positions 523 to 918 of the family's 1533-position model. The record is from RNAcentral.